CCCUUAGAUGUUCUGGGCCGCACGCGCGCUACACUGACGAAUGCAACGAGCUUAUAACCUUGGCCGAAAGGUCUGGGUAAUCUCCAAAUUUCGUCGUGAUGGGGAUAGAUUAUUGCAAUUAUUAAUCUUCAACGAGGAAUGCCUAGUAAGCGCAAGACAUCAGCUUGCGUUGAUUACGUCCCUGCCCUUUGUACACACCGCCCGUCGCUCCUACCGAUUGAAUGGUCCGGUGAAGCGUUCGGACCGUGGCCUUUGGACGGUUCGCCGUCUGUUGGCUGCGGGAAGUUCGUUAAACCUUAUCAUUUAGAGGAAGGAGAAGUCGUAACA
Molecule: ribosomal RNA, 327 nt
Filed under: uncultured eukaryote
Lineage: Eukaryota
Description: partial 18S ribosomal RNA
Rfam family: Eukaryotic small subunit ribosomal RNA
Source: RNAcentral